GUAAUACUCGCUCACUCUUGACGGAAAAGAGAUACACCACUCCGGUCAUUGACAACUUGCCGUUCCCUACGAUCCUCUCCUUUCUAUGUCUCAAAUGUCGCAGUUUUCAUUGUUCAGAAUUUGGUAUGUACAUCAACUGCUACUUAUUGAACACAUCAAUCGCUUCACAGUGAUUGGUUAUUCAGAAAAGGAGAAGGUAUCUUCUAUUGAAUAUUAGUUGAUUAAAAUAACUAUGACAAGAUAAAGACUCUUAGAUAGAUGUUUGCACAAAAAUAAUUUGGCACAAUAUUAAAAAUCUCAUAAUUGAAAUUGAUUGCAAACAUACUUUGUUCUAUACAUGCUUUCCAGGUUGUUUCAUUUAAAAGUUUCCCCUAUUUAUAUUUAGAUUGUAUCAAGAAGAUUAGCAUGUGUUUUUGUUAAAACAUCUAAAAGGAUGGUGGAUUACUUGUAGAAGUAUAUGAAUUAUAAAGUAAUCAUACAUGUAGCCCAAGAAGCAUAUGUUGCUGACAUGAUUUCUGGUUAGCAUGAUCCUUGGUUAUCAACUUUUGAAAGAAUAUAUGCUCAUUACAUGAAGCAGUUUCUAUAUUAGUGAAUAUGGUACUCAAGUCAGAGAAUCUUAGCAGUGAUUGUGAUUUUUCACGUAUAAAAAGUUUUUUACACCUCAAAGAGUGGGAUCCAAAGGACUGUUUUCUUGAGGAUUCUGUGUUCAAACUGUUGAGAUAAUUCCUAGGAAAUGGUUGCAAAUUUGGAGUGAAAUUCAUGUAGUGUUUUGUCUACAAUUGGUGUCUGUAAUGCGGUAUUCUAUUGGACUUUGCAUUGUUUCUUUGGUUGAGAUGGAAGUUGCCAACAAUAAUGAGGCCUUUUCGGGUUUCAAUGCAGUAGUGUUUGUUGGUGAUGAUAUGCUUGGUAACUUCUAGUUUUACGGUGUUCAUAAUGGGCAUAGCUGCUAUGGCUGAUUUUUGUAGGCUUAUUGGUGUUUGCAGGUACAUUGAUAACAUGGAAAAUACAACAUCAUUUCAGCUCGUUUUGUGUGUAGUUUAGGCCUAAACUCUCUGGUUUUGUCUAUGUUAUGCUGGGUUGUAUGGCUAUGUUUCAGGUACACAGCAAUAAAGGCCUUCAUGCGCAAAAAUGACGGAAUUCAGUAAGAAAACAAAGAAGGAAAGAAGUCUUGAGGAAUUCUGCUUCAGGGUGACGGCCGUCACACCCUGUGACGUGUUGAUCGUCACCCUCCAACUCUCGACCUGCCCAAGCCGUCACCACCCGUGACGAGCAGAUCGUCACACCCUGUGACGUCCGUCACGGGUUCGGAAGAAGCAGUCUCCCCCAUUAUCUGAAACUGUUUCCGGUUUUCUCUCCCACUCGCUCCACCUGCAGAAGCACGAUCAGAAGCACUUCAGAGGAGAUUUUUCCCUAUAAAUAGACCUGAAGAACUCAGAAAGAAGAAAAGAAGCUUUUAGAGAGAAACUGUGCUAUUUAGAAAACUGCUUAUGUAAUUCAAGCUUUUUGUUUUAGCUAUCGUACAAUCCUUACAACUUCAGAAUCUUUGUGAAUUGCAAUUUUAUUUAAGGAGUCCUUAUUUUUAUUUGAUCUCAA
Molecule: long non-coding RNA, 1593 nt
Organism: Medicago truncatula (barrel medic)
Lineage: Eukaryota; Viridiplantae; Streptophyta; Magnoliopsida; Fabales; Fabaceae
Exons: 2
Source: RefSeq, a predicted model, not a curated record